RNAcentral lists this ribosomal RNA (406 nucleotides) under uncultured bacterium. Its description in RNAcentral is "bacterial SSU rRNA". It matches the Rfam family "Bacterial small subunit ribosomal RNA", at positions 354 to 776 of the family's 1533-position model. The record is from RNAcentral.
GUGGGGAAUAUUGCACAAUGGGGGAAACCCUGAUGCAGCGACGCCGCGUGAGCGAGGAAGUAUUUCGGUAUGUAAAGCUCUGUCAGCAGGGAAGAAGAAUGACGGUACCUGAAGAAGAAGCACCGGCUAAAUACGUGCCAGCAGCCGCGGUAAUACGUAUGGUGCAAGCGUUAUCCGGAUUUACUGGGUGUAAAGGGAGCGCAGGCGGUUCUGCAAGUCUGAUGUGAAAGCCCGGGGCUCAACCGCGGGACUGCAUUGGAAACUGCGGGACUGGAGUGUCGGAGGGGUAAGCGGAAUUCCUGGUGUAGCGGUGAAAUGCGUAGAUAUCAGGAGGAACACCGGUGGCGAAGGCGGCUUACUGGACGAUGACUGACGCUGAGGCUCGAAAGCGUGGGGAGCAAACAGG